This 6109-nucleotide long non-coding RNA is filed under the name Equus caballus (horse). Its description in RNAcentral is "lncRNA (ENSECAG00000057092.1)". The record is from RNAcentral. Lineage: Eukaryota; Metazoa; Chordata; Mammalia; Perissodactyla; Equidae.
GUCGUGGACUGAAUUCUAUCCCCCCAAAUUCAUAUAAUGAAGUCCUAAUGCCCCCCAGGAAAAGGACCUUUAAGGGGAAAAUUAAGGUUGAAUGAGGUCAUAAGGGUGGGGCCCUAAUCCAGUAAGAGGAAGAGAUGCCAGGAGUUGCGUGUGCACAGAGGAAAGGCCACGUGAGGACACAGAGGGAAGGUGGCUGUCUGCAAAUCCAGGAGAGAGGCCUCACGAGAAAGCCAUCUUGUUAGCAUCUUGAUCUUGGACUUCCGGCCUCCAGAACUGUGAGAGAACACAUUUCUGUUGUUUAAGCCCCCGGCGUGUGGUAUUUUAUUACGGCAGCCCUAGGACACGGGUACGGCUGCCAACCCAUGACUCACUUUUGUUCCCAUUCCUUUGUAUCUUCUUUCCCCUUGUCCCUCUCUGAUAAGAAAUUAAAUAACAUAUAGAUGUGGUGGUUAAAAAAACAUGUCCAUAAAUCCUUGCUAUACCUCCUUUCCAGAAGAGCUGAACUCCUCUCCCCUUGAGUGAGGGCCAGACUUAGUGACUCUCUUCUGACAAGUAGAAUGAGGUAGAAGUGACUGUGUAUGACUCAGAGGCUCAGUCAUAAAAGGCACUGUGGCUCCCUCUCUCUCUCUCAGAUCACUUCCUUUGAGGGACGCCAGCCACCAUGUUGAGCAGUCCUAUGAAUAGGCCGUUCGAUGAGGAACUAAGGCCUCAAGUCAAUAGCCAUAUGAGGGCGCCAUCUUAGAAGUGGACCCUCCAGCCCCAGUGAAGCUUUCAGGUGACUGCAGCCCUUGCCAACCUCUUGACUGCAACCUCACGAGAGACUCUGGGCCAGAAACAUCCAACUAAGCAGCUCUCAAAUUCCUGAGCAUUAUUCACAAUAGCCAAGACUUGGAAGCAACCUAGGUGCCCAUCAAGGGACGAAUGGAUAAAGAAGAUGUAGUGUAUAUAUACCCGAUGGAAUACUACUCAGCCAUAAGAAAUGAUGAAAUCUGUCCACUUGUGACAACAUGAAUGGACCUUGAGGGCAUUAUGGAGAAGACAAGCUGAAAGAUGGAAGGGUGUGAAGCAGAGCGCGGCUGAACAUAAGGACAGAAAGCGCCUAGAACCUUGCAGACACAACUGAGCGGCUGCAUCAAACCUGGCUUGCCUCCUUCCAAGCUUCUCCUUAGGUGAUCAGGAGCAAGUUUCUUACUCUCUCCAAGCCCCAGUUUCUUCACCUGCAAAGAGAAGGAGAUCAGCAGUCAGGACCCAUUCCCCAGGGCCAUUGUGAGAAAUAAAUAGCAGAACAAUGGUGAGUAAUAGCUGUAAUUUACCAAAGGCGCCGGCCUGGCCCCAAGCUCUUCUCCUGCAGUGUCUUUAGUCCCUGGCCUGCAGCCCAUGCCGGUGCUCAGCAAACGUUCCCUUUCAGUCCUAGGAGCCAAUUUUAUAGUGGUAAAGGUGACGGGGUGGCAGCCCUGCUUAGGGGAGGCUGGUGAGAGAACAUAGGGCCUUAUGGGCCAGUGUCCUUCACAAAGCGAGGCAGGGGUGGCUGAAGACACCCUUCUUUAAUUUACAAACGAGUCUGGGCGUUGGGAGCAGGGAGGGUGCGGGGUGGAGUGAAGAGGAAGGAAUGAGGUUGAAGUGUGGAGCCCACAAGAAAAGUACCAUGUCUUGCCCCUGUCUGCACUGCUCUCCUACUCGCGCUCCUGACUUCACACAGCUGCUUCUGUUCUGCACUUUCCCUUGGGCUCAGUGGUUGGUCCCAACUCAGACCUAGUAAGGGGCGAGGCUGAGAUUCAAACACACAUCUGUCUCAGGAUGCUGUUUUUCCACACAGCCAUGUCAUGCCCUUUUCAAAUGAUCUGAAUGACAGUUAUUUCUUACUAUCUGGUCUGACAUGUUAGACACAGCUUUGGGACUGGGGGAUGUAGAGGGGUGGGGGCAGAAGAAGACAGGUGACCUGCGGUUGGUCUCAGAAACCCCAUUUUAUGGUCCCAGUUAUCCAGGAAGAUGGUUCCCAACAGCGCCUAGGCUUCUGAGGUUUGCAUCACUGUUUGAUGGGCCUGCAGAUAAAGUUUGUUCUGCAUCCAGGGUGAGCUCAGAUGGGCUCAUCAGCAGUGCUGACCCCUUCAGAGGGGGUGACGGCUGUCUGACCUUGGGAACCCAGUCACUUCCCAAGAAACACACAGAUCAGCAAUAAGCUGGGAACAGAUUCUAAGAGUUAGGAGGGGAUGAUUCUAAAAUCAAUGUUUAUUAGAGAGGAGGGCCUUCCCUUUUUUCUAUUCCUCUCUCCAGGGGUCUUUGUCUCUAAACUGGGCUUUAAAUGUAGAGUGGGAGAUCUAAUAAUACUCAUAAGAAUCAAAUGGAGAAUGAGUUUAAAAUGCAUAUUCCCUGGCCCUGCCGCCAACCUUCUCAUUCAGAUGGUCUGGGGGUGGGAAUCAAGAAUGAGCUUUUAAAAAAUAAAUGCCCAGGUGAUUCUUUUUCAGGUGUUUUUGGACAUUUCUCCAAGAGUGGCCAGAAGACCAUUGCAUCAGAUGAGCACCUGGAGUCUUGUGAAAAACACAAAUUCCAUAGACAUCCUGAAUUUUAAUCUGCAGGGGUGGCGUUGGAGGGGAUGAGAAGAGAAGCCUAGGAUUCUGCAUUUUAAAGGGGCUUCUCAGGGGAUGGUUGACUGGUAAAUUUUAGGAAUCAACUACCUAGGGAAUAGCAAAAUGUUCCCUUAGAUGGGCCAAGGCCUGGGGGAUCUAUUUCUGCUGAAGCUCAUUAAGCCACUUUGGGUUUAUGUUCAUGAGGAAACCACAACCCCAAGACCCAAGUGAGGAAUAAGAACACACAGUUUUGAGAAGAGGAAUUAAGUAAUAACCAACAAUGCUUCCACAUCUAAGAAUUUUUCUAACGUUUCUCCAGUAGGAACACCACAACACGUUUACCCUCUUUCUAUCCUUACUUUGCCUGCAGCACAAGUUUUCUUACAUAUAGAUGCUCAAAAAAUGCCCAUUACAUUGACUUGAAUGUAUUCCCCUUUGAAGAGCCAUACUUUCAACAAGUACUUUCAUAUAUUUUUUACUGGUGGUGUUUGGACAAGCUUACGUGUAUACAUGGGCAAGGGGCAGAAGCGGUGGGUGAACAAAAGUGGGUUUCAUAAACAAGGGAGAUAAAACUUAGCGAGUUCCUGAGGAGACAGGUUGUAGCAGGAAACAUAACUACAAGUUCUCAUUUUGGUUUACUUCCUCUCUUGCCUUGGGAUCUUAAGCAAGCUACUUUCAUUUCUCUAUUUCAACUGGGCCUCUUUUUUUUUUUUUUCUUUUUUUAAGGAAUAUGCUUUGUGGAAUUAUUUUAAGAAGUAACUAAUACGAGAUCGGAAAGCACCUUUUCCUCUUAGCCAAAAUUGUGCACAAGAGAAUCUCCACCAUCUGGGCCAGUUCAAUGAAAGAAGUGAAUUUUCCUUUUUUUCUCUUUCCUUCCUCCUUUCUAUAAAGUUCAUUCACUUAGUAAAUGUUUACUGAGAAUUCAUUAUAUGCUAGAAGCUGUGAAGACUUCUGGGACAGCAAACAAGACAUAGUUACUCCCCGCUAUGAUUGGAAAAGCUAGAGCAUUAAGGGUCUGAAAAGAGAAGUUGAAGGAUCAGAGAAAAGUCACUAGCCCUCCUGUAGUGCUGGCACAGGUGGGCCAGAUGGAGCUUGCAAAGUCUUCCGGGAAGCCAGGCACUUCAGCUGUCAGAGUGGAACCGUCCAGCCUGGAGACUCUGUUGGUCAGCAGGGCCUGCACUUGAGAGAAGAGCUGGGUGUAAAGCAGGGGAGAGCAAGGACAUACGGAACCUGCCACCAGUAUGGCGGAGAGUGGGGACAAGCUGGGAUAUGCCAGCCUCUCUGCGUGCUUCUCCCAGAGCAUGCUGCUUUAAGUCCUAGUACCAAAUAGGGAGAGAAUCUACCUACCAAAUCUCAUGCCAGCUUCUUUUUUUUCCAACUCUAACAUGAAUCAUGCAAGAAAGGGGAUUCUGGGAACAGUAGUUCCAACUAGUCCAAAUUAACACCAUACAUAUGAGGAGCUGGCUAAAAAAGUGAUGAAAGUUCGCCAGGAGGCCAACACACAAUUGAAAGUGGAAAAAUCAAUGUUAAGAUUGUGAGCAAAAGUGCUUGUUUAGGUCACAAGCUGUUUGUAAGUCCUCAAGACUUCUCUAAGUGGUCUCGUGUGUCAGCGCUAGAAUUGUCCUACCCACGGCAACUGCUACAUAAUGUGAGGGUAGAAGUCAGCUGGUAAAUGUAAGGCCAAUACCCCAACACAGCAACCACAGGUGCAACAGUUUAGGAAGAUCACUGGGUUUUUAUAUCUCCGGGUGACACAACAGUUAUUAACAAUCACUUUAAAUUUUAAUUUUUUGUCACAUGCAGAUUUAUGAGGUAUGGAAUGCUCAUCUGUUCAAACAUUUGUUAAUGCUUCUUGUAUGCCACAGCAAAGAAAAGUGAAACAUCCUACUGGCCUCUGCAUGAACCAAACACACACCCUUCCACCAGCUUUUGCUUACCGUACAUCAAAUUCCCUGCCCGACCGUGCCAGAUUCCCCACAAGGUUUACAAGAAAUAAAACCUGGGGAUAAGGGAGAGAGAAAGAGCCACAUGACAAAGUCACAGGCUCUGAGGUUUCAUAGACAAUCCAGAAGAACUGGUCAUAACUCCUUAAAUUAAGGUGAUUUGGUUAAAAAUAGCAGAACUUCCAGGGAACUAGCUCCAAUCUAAAGGGGGAUUUAUAAUGAGGACAGUGGCUCAUCUCACGAGACACAAGGGCAGGAAUGCAGCCAGCCUUCAUCAGGGACGGAAACCGAGAAAUGAAGUCAGGAGCACCCCAGCCCAUUUCAUUUCUGCUUCUCUCUGUGCAUUUGCUCCUUCUCCCGCCAGGCUGUUGUCUCUGUUCCUCAAAGCACAAGAUGGAAUACAGCUGCCUCUCUUGAGUUUGAAGUUAUAGUUUGAAGCCAUUGGAGACUGACUUUCUUUAAGUCCUAAUGAUGUGGAUUAAGGCUGCCCCAGCUAGAGAAGCCCAAGGUGACCUGGCCUACAUGCCAAACUAUACGACCCAGUGGACUUUUUUUAUGGUAUGAAUUAGGACCGCCCCAGGGAGAGAAGCCCAGGGCAUCCUCACCUACAUGCUGAUCUAUAUGGCCAGAUUCGUAUCUAAAGUUAUAUGACCGCACAAUAACCAGACCCCAUCUGCACUGAAAUCAUUUAAUGACUUUUUACAUCAUCUUUUCUUUUCUCCAGUAAAAAUAAGUCACGUACCCGUGCCUUAUAAAAUUAGCCCUAACCCUCAACUCGGGGCAGCAGCAGGAGCUCUGACUGCCCAUGGGUCCUGUCCCCAUGCAGCAGCAGCAGGAGCUCUGACUGCCCAUGGGACCUGUCCCCAUGCAGCAGCAGCAGGAGCUCUAACCGCCCGUGAGUCCUGUCCCCACGCACCAGCUCUGCCUGCCCAUGGGUCCUGUCCCCAUGCCAGCAGGGGCAGCAGCAGCUGCUCUGCCUGCCCAUGGGCCCUGUCCCCAUGCUAUUCCACACUAUUCUCUAAAUAAAAGAGCGCUACUGCCAGAUCUUGAGAGUCUAAGAAAUCUUUCUUUCGACUCCUCGGCUCACCGACCCCGCAUCACUAAUACCAAAUAGGGUAAGAAUCUGAUUGGUUAAACUUGGAUUCAAGGUCCUUUCCUUGAACCAAUAAGCCUUGGUGGUGGGAGAAAGGGGGAACUUCAGUACAAACCUGCAGCCAGGGCCCCAUCUCAGUGAGUGGGGGAGCACCCGGUCUCAACACACUGACUUGACUUAUAGAGGAUACAAGGUUAAUCUAAUGCCAAUCAAGUGUAUGGAGAUAAAUGACUUCCUAGGGAGACUCCAAAAAUCAAGCCUACUCUUCAGCUUCCUACAGACAGUAACAGAAACAGCAGGAGCCAAUGCAAAGUCAGAGGCCUGAAGAUAUGAGCAUUGCGGGAACUGCGGUAAAGUCAGCACCAAUUAAUCAAUGUCCGAGAGUGUAGUAGACCUUGUUGAAGGCCUCCCUGAACCAUUUCCCCUGCUUCCUUGCUGUUAGAGCUCUGGUUUUGUUCAGGUAUCUAUCCUCCUCCGCUUGCUCCUGGGCUUGUGUGGAUACUGGC